RNAcentral lists this transfer RNA (83 nucleotides) under Ixodes scapularis (black-legged tick). It matches the Rfam family "tRNA". Rfam says of the family: Transfer RNA (tRNA) molecules are approximately 80 nucleotides in length. Their secondary structure includes four short double-helical elements and three loops (D, anti-codon, and T loops). Further hydrogen bonds mediate the characteristic L-shaped molecular structure. tRNAs have two regions of fundamental functional importance: the anti-codon, which is responsible for specific mRNA codon recognition, and the 3' end, to which the tRNAs corresponding amino acid is attached (by aminoacyl-tRNA synthetases). tRNAs cope with the degeneracy of the genetic code in two manners: having more than one tRNA (with a specific anti-codon) for a particular amino acid; and 'wobble' base-pairing, i.e. permitting non-standard base-pairing at the 3rd anti-codon position. Lineage: Eukaryota; Metazoa; Arthropoda; Arachnida; Ixodida; Ixodidae. The record is from Rfam by way of RNAcentral.
GCAGUCGUAGCCGAUGGGUUUAAGGCGAUGGACUAGAAAUCCAUUGGGAUCUCCCCGCACAGGUUCGAAUCCUGUCGACUGCG